UACGGAGGAUGCGAGCGUUAUCCGGAUUUAUUGGGUUUAAAGGGUGCGUAGGCGGGAUGCCAAGUCAGCGGUAAAAAUGCGGUGCUCAACGCCGUCGAGCCGUUGAGACUGGCGUUCUUGAGUGGGCGAGAAGUAUGCGGAAUGCGUGGUGUAGCGGUGAAAUGCAUAGAUAUCACGCAGAACUCCGAUUGCGAAGGCAGCAUACCGGCGCCCUACUGACGCUGAGGCACGAAAGCGAGGGUAUCGAACAGG
RNAcentral lists this ribosomal RNA (252 nucleotides) under uncultured bacterium. Its description in RNAcentral is "partial 16S ribosomal RNA". It matches the Rfam family "Bacterial small subunit ribosomal RNA", at positions 524 to 776 of the family's 1533-position model. The record is from RNAcentral.